This 628-nucleotide long non-coding RNA is filed under the name Salvia miltiorrhiza (redroot sage). RNAcentral's name for it is "long non-coding RNA (SMIL_LNC010160)". Lineage: Eukaryota; Viridiplantae; Streptophyta; Magnoliopsida; Lamiales; Lamiaceae. The record is from RNAcentral.
AAAUUUAUUCACAAGUAAUAUUGUUAUGAGGUAAUUAAAAUUAUAUUCAUGAAUCUUUAAUGUUUGGUUUGUUCAAUUUGGCGUAAAAUGUGUAAGGGUUUUUGAAACUAUAUAUGACUAUUAAGUUUAUAGGAUCAAGAUUAGUAUAGUAGCUUCUUUGAGAAUCUUUAAUCUUUAAGGGUUUAAACAUGUUUGUUCUUGACUUGGGCUAAUAUUAGUAUAUACAGGGAAGAGGCUAUAGAUGCUCUUAUUUCUUGGUAAGACAAUUUCUUCUGCUCAUUUUGUAUAGGUUUUAGUUCUGCUCAUUGACAGCUCAUUAACAGAAUAAACACUACCAUUUCCCAUUGCUUCUUGGUAAGACAAUAUUGAAGAUAUUGAAGAAAUUGUCUUACUAAGAAGCUGUGAUAUUUUGUAUAGGUUUUAGUUCUGCCCAUUGCUCUAUAUUCUUGCAAAAAACUAGGAGGAAUAAUUUCAUUGCUAGAUGAAGCUUGGUAUGCUUUUUAAAUGUUUAUCUCAUUAUUUAUGAUGCUCUACAUUGUGAUUCUUGGUUGGCUCUUUGUAUGAUUUUGUGGCAGGUUUGUGGUGGAUUAAAUGAACUGUGCGUUGAGCUGAAGAGGCUUGUGAAUUC